RNAcentral lists this ribosomal RNA (497 nucleotides) under uncultured bacterium. RNAcentral describes it as "partial 16S ribosomal RNA". It matches the Rfam family "Bacterial small subunit ribosomal RNA", at positions 28 to 507 of the family's 1533-position model. The record is from RNAcentral.
GAUGAACGCUGGCGGCGUGCCUAAUACAUGCAAGUCGAGCGAACAGACGAGGAGCUUGCUCCUCUGACGUUAGCGGCGGACGGGUGAGUAACACGUGGAUAACCUACCUAUAAGACUGGGAUAACUUCGGGAAACCGGAGCUAAUACCGGAUAAUAUAUUGAACCGCAUGGUUCAAUAGUGAAAUACGGUUUUGCUGUCUCUUAUAGAUGGAUCCGCGCCGCAUUAGCUAGUUGGUAAGGUAACGGCUUACCAAGGCAACGAUGCGUAGCCGACCUGAGAGGGUGAUAGGCCACACUGGAACAGAGACACGGAACAGACUCCUACGGGAGGCAGCAGUAGGGAAUAUUACGCAAUGGGCGAAAGCAUGACGGAGCAAAGCCGCGUGAGUGAUGAAGGUCUACGGAUCGUAAAACUCUGUUAUUAGGGAAGAAAAAAUGUGUAAGUAACAAUGCACGUAUUGACGGUACCUAAUAAGAAAGCAACGGCUAACUACGUG